AAAAUCUAGUCUAUAUAUUAUAAUAGAUCAAUUUUUGCUUACUGUCCACGUGGGACCCACUUAAUUUCUGGUUUAUUUAUUUUGGUCGAAUAGGUUAAUUAGUUUGGUUUGGUCUGAUUUGGGUUUUCUAAGUUUGGUUCGAUUAUUAUUAAGUCAUUAGGGCUUCAAUAGUUGUUAGCGUUCUUCCACACUUCAUCUUGGCCGUAAAUCUGCAAACCUAAUGAGUUCUCCUCCCAUCUCUUUACCUUCCUGUUCUCUCUCUCUGGUUAAUUUCGGCAAUCACCAUGUCAAACCAACCUGAAUCUUCUUUUUUUUGUUAUUAUAUUUGUAUAUGCAUUGAGUUAGGGUCUACUUGUCAUGUCAUUAAAAAUGAUCUACUUCUCGCUUUGCAGGGUAAGAAAAGGAAGGACACUGUCUUCAUUUUGCUUGCUGAUGAAUCAGAAUGAACAAGGUCGUAAGGUCCAACUUGAAGGUUAGACUGGGUGAUGUCAUCUCUGUACACCAAUGCCCUGACGUCAAGUAUUGAAAGCGUGUGCCUAUCUUGCCUGUUGAUGACACCGUCGAAGGAGUCACCGGAAACCUCUUUGAUGCUUACCUCAAAUGAAUGAGGAGUGUGGAGUUCAAAGUUAUCGAGACUGAUCAAGCUCUAGAUACAUAGAAUCUCUGUGAGGGUGAACCAAUUAAAAGAGAGGAUGCAGCUAAGAAUUGUGUGCUUCUCUAUCGGUAUGCUCCCCUCAGAACAUAACAACGGCCGCCAUUGUGGGCCUCAGAGCUGGCUCCUCGUGCAUGCAGCACAAAGCUAUCUGAACCAAUUUUUCAAUCUCUUAGGCUCGUCACUAACCCUCUAGCCCCGGGUCCGCUAGCUCUCUUUAAUGGAGAACAAUGAAGAAAUGAAACAAAUAUCAAGAAGAGGCCCAUCUGAAAUACCACCUGGACCGAUAGACAAUAAGCUGGGAGAGCCCGGCUACAAGGAGAGGUAUUAUGCUGAGAAAUUUAGUACGUCCAUUUCAGAGGAAACUGAGCAAAUCAUACAAGACUUGGUUUUGCACAUACUACUAUGCCACCCCAUUUGCUUCAGAUCUUAAGAAUCUGUCUGAUUUGGAAAUCACAUUUUUCAUUGGAAAGCCUGUUACACCUUUUGAUCAAAUUAGUGCGAACCCUACCGGCUGCAAGGUUCUUUCCUUUUUUUUUGUUUUGUGGAACCUUAAUCUUUAUAUAUUAAAACAGAAGUCAUAACCUUGAUUCAUGUGUGAUUUUUAAAAAAAUUGACCUAAUGGACUUAUUCAUA
Long non-coding RNA from Brassica napus (rape), 1288 nucleotides. RefSeq lists it as uncharacterized. Lineage: Eukaryota; Viridiplantae; Streptophyta; Magnoliopsida; Brassicales; Brassicaceae. The transcript has 5 exons. The record is from RefSeq and is a predicted model, not a curated record.